Molecule: long non-coding RNA, 434 nt
Organism: Molossus molossus (Pallas's mastiff bat)
Lineage: Eukaryota; Metazoa; Chordata; Mammalia; Chiroptera; Molossidae
Exons: 3
Source: RefSeq, a predicted model, not a curated record
CUUCACAGCCUUUGAAGUACACUGCUGAUUACCUAGCACCUACAAGGUUCCUGGAGGAGCUUACACAGUGGGAGAAGGACCUGUGGAUGGCAAUUGCCACACCAGAGGUGUGAAGGAUGAUUCACGGAGAGGAGAAGGACAUGGAGGAUGGAGCCCCAGAGAACACCGACAUCCAGGAGACAGCAGCAGCAGAAUAGCCAGGAAGAGAGCAGAGGAGAAAGGGCUUAGAGAAUCAUGGAGAGAAGCCAGGUGAGGAUGCUGAGGGUGAAAAAUAUAUUCUGCUGAGUUGAAAUGUGAAUUGGAGGAGUCUCAGGCUGAGUGGUGCCUGAGGCAUGUUCAUCAUUUAUCAGGUAAGCCAAAGCCAUGUAACAUUUUGAAGUGAUUCCCCAGGGUCCUCCUAUGUACUUUUCUAGAUACUUGCUCACAGGAGUGAC